This 402-nucleotide ribosomal RNA is filed under the name uncultured bacterium. RNAcentral describes it as "bacterial SSU rRNA". It matches the Rfam family "Bacterial small subunit ribosomal RNA", at positions 355 to 774 of the family's 1533-position model. The record is from RNAcentral.
UGGGGAAUAUUGGACGAUGGGCGCAAGCCUGAUCCAGCCAUGCCGCGUGAGUGAUGAAGGCCUUAGGGUUGUAAAGCUCUUUUAGCGGGGAAGAUAAUGACGGUACCCGCAGAAAAAGCCCCGGCUAACUUCGUGCCAGCAGCCGCGGUAAUACGAAGGGGGCUAGCGUUGCUCGGAAUUACUGGGCGUAAAGCGCACGUAGGCGGACUCUUAAGUCGGUGGUGAAAUCCUGGAGCUCAACUCCAGAACUGCCUUCGAUACUGGGAGUCUUGAGUUCGGGAGAGGUGAGUGGAACUGCGAGUGUAGAGGUGAAAUUCGUAGAUAUUCGCAAGAACACCAGUGGCGAAGGCGGCUCACUGGCCCGAUACUGACGCUGAGGUGCGAAAGCGUGGGGAGCAAACA